This 484-nucleotide ribosomal RNA is filed under the name uncultured bacterium. Its description in RNAcentral is "partial 16S ribosomal RNA". It matches the Rfam family "Bacterial small subunit ribosomal RNA", at positions 28 to 507 of the family's 1533-position model. The record is from RNAcentral.
AUUGAACGCUGGCGGCAUGCUUUACACAUGCAAGUCGAACGGCAGCGCGGGCUUCGGCCUGGCGGCGAGUGGCGAACGGGUGAGUAAUGCAUCGGAACGUGCCCAGUAGUGGGGGAUAGCCCGGCGAAAGCCGGAUUAAUACCGCAUACGACCUGAGGGUGAAAGCGGGGGACCGAAAGGCCUCGCGCUAUUUGAGCGGCCGAUGUCGGAUUAGCUAGUUGGUGGGGUAAAGGCUUACCAAGGCGACGAUCCGUAGCUGGUCUGAGAGGACGACCAGCCACACUGGGACUGAGACACGGCCCAGACUCCUACGGGAGGCAGCAGUGGGGAAUUUUGGACAAUGGGGGCAACCCUGAUCCAGCCAUGCCGCGUGCGGGAAGAAGGCCUUCGGGUUGUAAACCGCUUUUGUUCGGGAAGAAAUCCUCUGGGCUAAUACCCCGGGGGGAUGACGGUACCGGAAGAAUAAGCACCGGCUAACUACGUG